This 292-nucleotide ribosomal RNA is filed under the name uncultured bacterium. RNAcentral describes it as "partial 16S ribosomal RNA". It matches the Rfam family "Bacterial small subunit ribosomal RNA", at positions 773 to 1060 of the family's 1533-position model. The record is from RNAcentral.
GUGGAUUAGAUACCCUGGUAGUCCUGGCAGUAAACGGUGCACGUUUGGUGUGGGAGGAUUCGACCCCUUCUGCGCCGGAGCUAACGCGUUAAACGUGCCGCCUGGGGAGUACGGUCGCAAGAUUAAAACUCAAAGAAAUUGACGGGGGCCCGCACAAGCGGUGGAGUAUGUGGCUUAAUUCGAUGCAACGCGAAGAACCUUACCUGGCCUUGACAUGCAUCUCUAAGCUGGUGAAAGCCAGUGAGUGUCGAAAGACACAAUUUGCACAGGUGCUGCAUGGCCGUCGACAACU